AACGAACGCUGGCGGCAUGCCUAACACAUGCAAGUCGAACGAGACCUUCGGGUCUAGUGGCGCACGGGUGCGUAACGCGUGGGAACCUGCCCUUAGGUUCGGCAUAACUCCCCGAAAGGGGUCCUAAUACCGGAUAAUGUCUUCGGACCAAAGAUUUAUCGCCUUUGGAUGGGCCCGCGUUGGAUUAGCUAGUUGGUAGGGUAAAAGCCUACGAAGGCGACGAUCCAUAGCUGGUCUGAGAGGAUGAUCAGCCACACUGGGACUGAGACACGGCCCAGACUCCUGCGGGAGGGAGCAGUGGGGAAUAUUGGACAAUGGGCGAAAGGCUGAUCCAGCAAUGCCGCGUGAGUGAUGAAGGCCUUAGGGUUGUAAAGCUCUUUUACCCGGGAUGAUAAUGACAGUACCGGGAGAAUAAGCGCCGGCUAACUCCGUG
RNAcentral lists this ribosomal RNA (433 nucleotides) under uncultured bacterium. Its description in RNAcentral is "partial 16S ribosomal RNA". It matches the Rfam family "Bacterial small subunit ribosomal RNA", at positions 29 to 507 of the family's 1533-position model. The record is from RNAcentral.